Molecule: small nuclear RNA, 107 nt
Organism: Cavia aperea (Brazilian guinea pig)
Lineage: Eukaryota; Metazoa; Chordata; Mammalia; Rodentia; Caviidae
Source: Ensembl
GUGCUUGCUUCGGCAGCACAUAUACUAAAACUGGAACAAUACAGAGAAGAUUAGCAUGGCAAUUAUGCAAGGCUGACAUGCAAAUUCGUGAAGCGUUCCGUAUUUUG